RNAcentral lists this transfer RNA (72 nucleotides) under Marmota marmota marmota (Alpine marmot). It matches the Rfam family "tRNA". From Rfam's summary of the family: Transfer RNA (tRNA) molecules are approximately 80 nucleotides in length. Their secondary structure includes four short double-helical elements and three loops (D, anti-codon, and T loops). Further hydrogen bonds mediate the characteristic L-shaped molecular structure. tRNAs have two regions of fundamental functional importance: the anti-codon, which is responsible for specific mRNA codon recognition, and the 3' end, to which the tRNAs corresponding amino acid is attached (by aminoacyl-tRNA synthetases). tRNAs cope with the degeneracy of the genetic code in two manners: having more than one tRNA (with a specific anti-codon) for a particular amino acid; and 'wobble' base-pairing, i.e. permitting non-standard base-pairing at the 3rd anti-codon position. The record is from Rfam by way of RNAcentral. Lineage: Eukaryota; Metazoa; Chordata; Mammalia; Rodentia; Sciuridae. RNAcentral also lists the same sequence under 1 other name.
GGGGAUGUAGCUCAGAAGGUAGAGUGCUUGCCUAGCCUGCAUAAGGCCCUGGGUUAAUCCCCAGCAUUUCAA